UUUCACAGCUACCAGGGUUUUAAAGCUACUUAUUUUCAAUGCUACCACAGGACUGGGACUUGGGGAAUGGAAAUAUGAUCCCGUAGGCCCAUACUUGCACCAACUUAUGUCUGGUGCAACAAUGACACCAACGAUGUCUCCUGCUUACAACAACAAAAAUUUCUUUCUCAUCAUGCUGCAUGUCCAUCAAAGGUCGUCUUCUCUCGAGGCAGUCUCUAACUGGAAUGUUGGCACCGGUUGCAUUUCAUUGGGUAAAGCUAUACAUUUGUCAGGUCUCCAGGACUUUGAUUAACAGUGGGAGUAACAGAGCAAUCACUGUCUUAGUAACAACUUCAAAGGGAAGAUGCAUCAAGUUGAGGAAGACAUUGAUACAGGCUUUCUUCAGAGUCCUUAUCAAAGGGAGGUAGUAGGACACAUGCGGAGCCAAUCAGAGCCCUUACAUGGGACUUUGGGGAUUCAGAGAGAGCAGCAUCUGCUGGUGGUAGAAGCUUGAAAACAUGAAAUUCACAAGCUGUCAGUGGCCAUGUCAAUUUCCAUUCAGGAGAGACCCGCCUAUAGCUGGAGAAAAUGGAGUUAACUCAGGGGUAGGUAAAGAAGAGAAAAGAGAAUCCUGGUGGUGACUGACAUUCAACUCAAUUCCUUCCCUUACC
Molecule: long non-coding RNA, 650 nt
Filed under: Equus caballus (horse)
Lineage: Eukaryota; Metazoa; Chordata; Mammalia; Perissodactyla; Equidae
Description: lncRNA (ENSECAG00000031169.3)
Source: RNAcentral